Molecule: ribosomal RNA, 320 nt
Filed under: uncultured eukaryote
Lineage: Eukaryota
Description: partial 18S ribosomal RNA
Rfam family: Eukaryotic small subunit ribosomal RNA
Source: RNAcentral
CCCCUAGAUGUUCAGGGCCGCACGCGCGCUACACUGAACAGUUCAACAAGUCUUAACCUUGGCCGAUAGGUCUGGGUAAUCUUUGAACGCUGUUCGUGAUUGGGAUAGACCUUUGCAAUUAUGGGUCUUCAACGAGGAAUUCCUAGUAAACGCAAGUCAUCAGCUUGCAUUGAUUACGUCCCUGCCCUUUGUACACACCGCCCGUCGCACCUACCGAUUGAAUGGUCCGGUGAAAUCUCGGGACGGCGGCUUGGUCGCUUGCGUCCGACUGCUGAAACUUGAUUAAACCAUAUCAUUUAGAGGAAGGUGAANUCGUAACA